GUGCCAGCAGCCGCGGUAAUACGUAGGGUGCGAGCGUUAAUCGGAAUUACUGGGCGUAAAGUGUGCGCAGGUGGCUUCGCAAGUCGAGUGUGAAAGCCCCGGGCUUAACCUGGGAAUUGCGCUCGAAACUACGGAGCUGGAGUAUGGCAGAGGGAGGUGGAAUUCCACGUGUAGCGGUGAAAUGCGUAGAGAUGUGGAGGAACACCAAUGGCGAAGGCAGCCUCCUGGGCCAAUACUGACACUCAUGCACGAAAGCGUGGGGAGCAAACAGGAUUAGAAACCCUUGUAGUCC
RNAcentral lists this ribosomal RNA (292 nucleotides) under uncultured bacterium. RNAcentral describes it as "partial 16S ribosomal RNA". It matches the Rfam family "Bacterial small subunit ribosomal RNA", at positions 505 to 796 of the family's 1533-position model. The record is from RNAcentral.